AUCCUUACAUGACUGGCUUGGCAAUUGCUGGAGGUAUCUACUGGAUGGGACUGGAAGGCGCCAUUAUUGGGCCCAUCUUGUUGUGCUGUCUGAUAGUGGUGGUCCGCUUGUAUGGGACUAUGUUACAACCUGACCCCGCCACACCUGACCCAGGAAAGGAUUUUAAUCUUAAUUCUGACAUAUUGUCCCCUCCUUAUCUCCUGUACAAGAGGUUACAGCAUGACACGUGGCAGAAGGAGGCUCUCUGGUGACGGAGGUAGGAAAAGCCUACCCUUCAUGUUGAGAUUUCUUCCACGGUCAAUCAGCAGCAUUGACGUGAAGAAAAACUCAUGAUAUUGGGACAGGAAGAUUGAUGUCUGAUGCAAGGUGUAAUCCAGUCCAGCCCCUGUGCCUCUUUCUCCCCCUGGAGCCAUUCAGUCCCUCCAUACUGGAGUGUUUUGUUUCUGUUACAAUAUUUACUAUAUAUAAUUGUAUACUUACCUGGUAUAUUGUGUCCAGUUUUGAAAUGCUUCUAGUAGUUGAGUUACCGUCACAUGUUUUGGUGUCCAUUAACAUCACUCAGCUUGACAUAAAUAUUGUACAGAUACUUUCUCUGAUAGAUUGAGGAACAAUGAUCAGAGUAAAAUGUAGUUCAGAUGAUAGAGUAGUAUCAUUACUGCUGCUUAUCAAGAGGACAUUGUCCUUAUUGAUGACAUCGGAGGGAACAAUGCUGUUACUUGGCCACAUCACCAUGAACAAUUCUGUUUCUUGGUGACCUCAUGAAGAACAGUUUCUUCAGGUGAAAUUACAAGGAACAAUACUGUUAUCAGAAUACCUCACUGGGAACAUUUCUGUUACUAGGUAAUGUUUAGAAGAACACUGAUGUUCCUUCAAGUCACUUUGUGAGUAACAUUAAGUUUUCUGUGAUAUUUGAGGAAUAUUACUGUAACUUCAUGACAUCACAAGGAAUGAUGAAUUGUUUAUUUAUUUGCUGUAUUUCGUAACUUUAAAUUUUUGACAAUUUGGAAUUGUUUGUGAUUUUUGUGACAAUUUGAAAAUGGAACUUAGGCUUUUCCCCAUUAUCUGUGAUACUUGAGUAAAAAUUUUUAUCAUUAAAAGUCUUUAAUAAUGGGAAAUUACAUGACAUUCUUUAUCAAGAUAUUUUCCUUUAUUAGGUAUUUUAUGAAAUGGUAUGCAAAAAUUUUUAAAUUGAUCAUAAGACCACGAAAAGUCUGAUAAUUUCAAUAUAUAGAAUAAUGAUUAUAUGAAAGAUACUGAAAAGAUUAUUUGAAUUGUUUUAUGUGACAAAUACUGAUACAAUGUAAGUACAAUGUGUUUAUAUAUAUGCAAGUAAGUUCAGCAAAGUCUUGUGCCAGGGAAGUUUAGUUAUUGUUAGGGUUUGUCAAUUGAUAUUGAGAAAACAUGAAAACUCAAUAUAUUGCAAUUAUAGAUUUUUCACCAAGAUGCUUGAAGCUGUAUAAGGGAUGCCUUUCACAAUUAAGUGCUUGAAAUUUCGGUUUGUUUCCUUGAAGAGUUCUUGAAUAUUUAUACAAUGUUUUUGUAUGGAGCUAAUGUUUAGUCAAUUUUUGUUUGCAGCGAUGAACAGCAAAAUCAUGACAUUCAAGAUUCACUUUUUUCUCCUCUGGUAAGAUUUUAUUAAGAGGAUGAUUUUUUGAAAAAGAACACUGAAUGUUUUAAUCAGUUUUUGAUAUUUUUAAAGCAUUUUAACUGAUAUAAUGUAAAAAGUAAUGUCCAAAUAACAAGAUUGUGACAUGAAAAAAUUGUAAUAUAUAAUCUCAUUCUUAAUUAUUAUGAAAUGAUUUUUAUUGACUGUUUUUUUCAACUCCACUAGAGGAAUUUUGAUGCACAUGAUAUAUACUAAACCUGUCUUUAGUUAUAGAUGUAAUAUCUAGCUAUAAAUAAACCAACAUCUAUAUGUUUGCAAUUCAUACACCAGGGAUUGUUUUUCAACUUUAAGUUAUAAAAAGUGUCUAUUGUUGAGUAAGAAGCUUUUGUUUUGAUAUGCCUGAAUUCCUGAAAAGUUCCGUCCUUAAAUGGCCGUAGGUAUUGAUAGGACGUUACACAAUAUAAAACUGAAUGCUGGAAAGUUAUGAAACUAUGACAGAUUUAAACCAUGAUAUUAAUUUCUUUAUAUGUUUCUGAUUAUCUGUAAAUGUGAUGUAGAAAGUCUGUGUUUUGUUUGCUUAUCAUUUAAAUGAUUUUUAGUCCUGUUGUCUCUUAAUUGUUGUGUAUUGAAGUACCUGAUAUCUUGUCUGUCUACACAUUGAAUUUUAGAAUGUUUCCUACUACAUCCUAUAAACUUGAUGAUUAUAUGGGUUUAAUGAGUAAAGUGGGCAUUCUAUACCUGUAACCUUUUACUCUGUUUGAUUUCUAAGGGUUUAAGUAGUCACCCUGAUGACAUGGUCACCCGGUGCCAAGGUCACACAGACUUGUAUGUGUUUUACUGAGAUUUUACUUGAUUACUCUGGAGUGAAGUUCAUACAGACUUGUGUGUUUCACUGAGACUUCAAGUUAUCACGCUGGUCACUCAGACUUGUGUGUUUUACUGAGACUUCAAGUUAUCACUCCCUAGUCAUGGUCACACUGAUGUUUUACUAGAUCACAUGACUUUUUGGUAGUAAUGUAAACAGCACUUGCUAUUAACUACCGGUAGUUAUGUUAUGUUAUUGUAUGACAUAUUUCAUGAUAAAAUGUGGUUCAUGGAUAUGAAAAAAAAAAUUACGGAAAUAUUAAUAUCAACCUGUAUGUAUCCUGCUAUAAGUGGAGGAGACAAACAUAUAAAUAAUUACUGGAAUUUAAAAGAUUGUCUUAUUGAAGUACAUUAAAUUGUAAUUCUACUGAACAGUAAUAGAUGUGUAUUGAUGUCUACAAGGCAUGUACUUACAGCAGAAUAAACAUAAUACAUGUAUGAUGUAGGAUUUAGUUUCAUUUAAGUAUGAAGUAUACUUUUUUUAAUAAUAUUUAAAUAAUUACAUUUUAAUUUCUCUGUUUUCCAUAAAUAUGUACAUGUCAAAAAUUUCAGUUAAAGUUAAAUUGUAUUUCUGAUAAUAUAAUUAUGAUACCAACCAUAACCUUAAUAUGGAACUUUUACACAUACACUCAGUUUUAAAACUGCUGUUCAUACUUUGUGAUAUGUUUUAGAUAAUGAUUUGUGCUUAUCUUCAAAAAGUAAAUUUUUGUGUGACAUGAUGCAAGAUCUUUGAGUGCUUGCUAAAAGUAAUAUAUUGUAUUAAAUUUGUAUCUAAUAACCGGACAACAUGAAAACUUGAUUUCUCUCAAAAGUUUUGGCUUUUGCAGAAUUCAGCCUUACAAUUUCCGAUACAUGUUUAUUAGUAUGUUUAAUCCCUCUUUGCAUGAUAUGAAUGCCCCUGUUCCCUGCAUAUUACUUUUUUCUUAUUUUUUUUUGGACUGAUAAAAAAAUAAAAAAUGGCUUACAGGCAGCUGUCUUGGAUUUGACAUUACAAUGAAAGAUUGUUGCUGCCAUUUCUUUAGAAGUUACUGGAUGGACCUUUCUCAAAUUAAUAAUGUUUGCUCCUCUUGGCUACUUGUUGUAGUGAUUUGAUUUUGGCACUGAUCCAAAAAAUAAACUGGCCGAUGGGUGACCAUCUUGGAUUUGGCAGUUAAAUAUUAUCGCCAUUUUAAGAGAAAUUUUCAAAUUUUACAUGAUUAGGAACAAAAACAGAGGAAAGCAGAGAAAUGAACAAAUGAAGAUAAAACAAUAAUGGGGACCAGGAUCCCUCUUGGAUCUCUUUUUACUUCUGUCGUGGUAUAAGUUUGAUCUAAAGUGAUUCAGGACAGCAAAGGGCAAAUGUGGGUAACACUAUUUGCCGUGCCCCUAUAAAAUUGUGCGGAUGGAAAAAAAUACUUAGCCAUAUAUCACAUCUUAAAUGGACAAGGUUUCUUCAAAUUUUGAGUGUAAAUGAUAAAAUAAUACUGUAAGGAUUUUAAUAUUUUAACCACUGAUAUUUCUUUUAUUUAGUGUUUGUGGAUUUUUCCCCCUUUUUUCCAUAUGGGGAGAUGUAUCAGUAGAUGUUUUUUUAUCAAGCACCACAUGAUGUUGGAUAGUCAAAUCCAAGUUUGAAUGCUUUGCAUAUAAACUAAAUUUGUUAUUUAUUAUGUGUAUGUUGCAACAUUUAUGUUUAUCUCUGUAUGAUUUGAUUGUUGCAUUGUUAUUUAUUUAUAUAUUUAUUAAGUUUAUUUCAAGCUUUUUUUACUUUUUAAUGUUAAGACCAAUUAAAUUUGCAGUUUGUGCAAUGAAAUAAAAGAGACCCAUUGGUCCUGUAAUGCUUA
Long non-coding RNA from Ylistrum balloti, 4290 nucleotides. RefSeq lists it as uncharacterized. The record is from RefSeq and is a predicted model, not a curated record. Lineage: Eukaryota; Metazoa; Mollusca; Bivalvia; Pectinida; Pectinidae. The transcript is spliced from 4 exons.